Molecule: long non-coding RNA, 368 nt
Organism: Medicago truncatula (barrel medic)
Lineage: Eukaryota; Viridiplantae; Streptophyta; Magnoliopsida; Fabales; Fabaceae
Exons: 2
Source: RefSeq, a predicted model, not a curated record
AAUAAGAUUCUAUUAAUUACAAGCAAAAAAGGAAAAUAUGGCUCAAAUUCUCAUUUUUGUUUAUGCUUUCAUCAUCCUUUUUUCUCUAUUUGUUUUUUUUACCAGUGGCGCUAUUCCCUGCGGUACUCGUGAUGAUUGCCCAAAGACCACUACAUAUAUGUGCUUUAAUAACAUUUGUGUACUCCUUAGAUAAUGUAUAUUAUUUAGAUAUUUAUAUAUAAAUUAGUUAAUCAUGGUUUUUAAAUUUAUGACUUAAUUUGGUAGAAUUUGUUACCAACGUAUUACCAAAUAAGAUUUGUUACCAACAUGUGCCAAAUAAGACUUCUUCCUAAUUAUUGGUUACUUUUAAUUUGAGUUUCUUUUUGUUA